AGCGGACAGAUUGGCAGGACCCCUGGGCUGUCUGGAAGAACAGAGACGCUUCAACUGCCCUAUUCGUGAAGACUUUGCAGAUGGUAGCGUGUGGAGAGGUUGUGGCUGGGCGGAACAGAACGAUGAAGUAUCUUGUUUGAGAAAUGCGCAUAGGGUGGAGACGACGAGCAACGCGACGGUGGCGAGUAAUGGAAGAGGCCGUGACCUUGAGUCGAGCGUUUUGAAAGAAGAAAGGUAAAGAGGAAGGCAGUAAGAAGGAAGAAGAGAAGGAGGUUUCUGAUAAAACCAAGGAUCAAGAUAAGGAUGAUGAUGCCAUGUCUGUAGAUUAAGUGGUGUCCAUGGAUAUGUUUGCCUUAAAUUUUAUAUAUAGUUUGAUCAUUGGAUACUUAUGCAUAGAUUUGUAAAGGGAGUUACGACCUCAAUGUGGAAUUGCAUGUCAAAGGUAUUCGUGUAAUAUUUAUCAGUUAGGAUAUAGUAAUGAUAUGUGCCAUUAUUAUAGGAGUGUACUGUCAGCAUCCCAUUUUCAAUAUUGUAUUAGUUGAUUUGUAAUGUACAAGUUGGGAUUUUUGAAUGUAGUUUUGAUAAGUCUGAAACAUCAGACUAAUAGAACUCAUUAAAUAAUAUACACAAA
Molecule: non-coding RNA, 631 nt
Organism: Procambarus clarkii (red swamp crayfish)
Lineage: Eukaryota; Metazoa; Arthropoda; Malacostraca; Decapoda; Cambaridae
Source: RefSeq, a predicted model, not a curated record